Molecule: ribosomal RNA, 253 nt
Filed under: uncultured bacterium
Lineage: Bacteria
Description: partial 16S ribosomal RNA
Rfam family: Bacterial small subunit ribosomal RNA
Source: RNAcentral
UACGUAGGGGGCGAGCGUUGUCCGGAUUCACUGGGUUUAAAGGGUGCGUAGGAGGGCAGGUAAGUCAGUGGUGAAAUCUCCAAGCUUAACUUGGAAACUGCCGUUGAUACUAUCUGUCUUGAAUACCGUGGAGGUGAGCGGAAUAUGUCAUGUAGCGGUGAAAUGCUUAGAUAUGACAUAGAACACCAAUUGCGAAGGCAGCUCGCUACACGAAUAUUGACUCUGAGGCACGAAAGCGUGGGGAUCAAACAGG